GGGCUCCCUCAGAGGCGGUCUCCUCUCCCAGCUCUAAUCCCCUGUAUCAAAGAGAUGAGGCUUAAGGCCCCUGCAGCCACCCUGCCACCAUCCUGACCUGGCCCUGCAGGGGGCCCAAGCUGGGCAGGCAGAGGGGGCCAGGACAGGCUGGAUUCUGGGAAGGACUACCCGGAAGAGGCUGGAGGUGCAGGACCUCACCCAUGCAGCUGACAGGCAGCGAUCCAGUUCCGCAUGACCACCAGGAAGGUGUUCAAGUCCACAGUGGCUGCAGGACCCUCCCCAUUGGGGUCCAGGCUUUGGGUCAAUGUCUGGAGGCGUGCAUCCUGCGGUCCCUGGCCAGUCACAGCCUCUAGGUCAACUUUUCUAUCUGGAAGUGGGGCCCAGGUACCCCACCUCACCAAGCAGACCAAUGAGGACAGAGCUGAGGGACAGCAGCCUCAUUCCCACCAGGAUCCCAAAGACUUGCCACCUUCUGUUAUGGCCCCCAGGUUUGCCUUGGCCCCAUCCUCUUCUUUACUGAAUGAAGCUUCCCAUGGUCAGUCA
Long non-coding RNA from Cavia porcellus (domestic guinea pig), 543 nucleotides. RefSeq lists it as uncharacterized. The transcript is spliced from 3 exons. NCBI's taxonomy places the organism in Eukaryota, Metazoa, Chordata, Mammalia, Rodentia, Caviidae. The record is from RefSeq and is a predicted model, not a curated record.